Molecule: ribosomal RNA, 253 nt
Filed under: uncultured bacterium
Lineage: Bacteria
Description: partial 16S ribosomal RNA
Rfam family: Bacterial small subunit ribosomal RNA
Source: RNAcentral
UACGAAGGGGGCUAGCGUUGCUCGGAAUCACUGGGCGUAAAGCGCGCGCAGGCGGUCUUCCAAGUCAGUGGUGAAAGCCCGGAGCUCAACUCCGGAACUGCCAUUGAAACUGUAAGACUUGAGUACGAGAGAGGUGAGUGGAAUUCCCAGUGUAGAGGUGAAAUUCGUAGAUAUUGGGAAGAACACCGGUGGCGAAGGCGGCUCACUGGCUCGUAACUGACGCUCAGGCGCGACAGCGUGGGGAUCAAACAGG